This 532-nucleotide ribosomal RNA is filed under the name uncultured bacterium. RNAcentral's name for it is "bacterial SSU rRNA". It matches the Rfam family "Bacterial small subunit ribosomal RNA", at positions 978 to 1509 of the family's 1533-position model. The record is from RNAcentral.
CUCUUGACAUCCAGAGAACUUGGCAGAGAUGCCUCGGUGCCUUCGGGAACUCUGAGACAGGUGCUGCAUGGCUGUCGUCAGCUCGUGUUGUGAAAUGUUGGGUUAAGUCCCGCAACGAGCGCAACCCCCUAUCCUUUGUUGCCAGCGAUUCGGUCGGGAACUCAAAGGAGACUGCCGGUGAUAAACCGGAGGAAGGUGGGGAUGACGUCAAGUCAUCAUGGCCCUUACGAGUAGGGCUACACACGUGCUACAAUGGCGUAUACAAAGAGAAGCGACCUCGCGAGAGCAAGCGGACCUCAUAAAGUACGUCGUAGUCCGGAUUGGAGUCUGCAACUCGACUCCAUGAAGUCGGAAUCGCUAGUAAUCGUAGAUCAGAAUGCUACGGUGAAUACGUUCCCGGGCCUUGUACACACCGCCCGUCACACCAUGGGAGUGGGUUGCAAAAGAAGUAGAUAGCUUAACCUUCGGGAGGGCGUUUACCACUUUGUGAUUCAUGACUGGGGUGAAGUCGUAACAAGGUAAGCGUACGUGU